RNAcentral lists this long non-coding RNA (583 nucleotides) under Homo sapiens (human). Its description in RNAcentral is "non-protein coding lnc-GALNTL6-5:1". The record is from RNAcentral. Lineage: Eukaryota; Metazoa; Chordata; Mammalia; Primates; Hominidae.
AAAAUUGAGCUCUCUGUGCAGCCACAGGUGAACACAGAUCUGACUGCAUGCCUGCAAAAAAACUGUCACAGAGAUGUCUCUAUACUGAAUGCCAGAGUGGGUUAGAGAACACGCCUCUGGCUAUGUCAACAGAGAUUAUUCACCUUUCCCACAACGGUAGUACAAUCAAGUCAGUCGAUCUCAUCUUCAUGAGACUCUGGAUCUACAGCCAUCAUUUCUAAAACAAAUGCAAACGAAGGUAUAUUUUGGGGUGAGCAAAGGAGCUUUCUCUGUGUGGGGUAUCAUGUCUGGGAAACCUGACGUUGUUUGUGUAGAAGGCUCAUAAAGUUCCUGUAAAGAAUUCUGAUCAAGACUCCGAAAAUUUAUCUGGAAGAGAAUCUUAAUUCGCCAUCAAGAAGACAUUCCUUUUUAUGGUUCAAAUGAUGAAAUGGACACUAAGGAAAUUUUCCAUUUUUGCAGAAAAAGUAUUCUGUGUUAAUGGAACCGGAGGAAACCACAUGGCUUUGGUCAGCUGCAUCAGUUCUUAAAUGCCAGAGAAUGUGCAGAUGUUUUCCAAAUGUUCUUUAAUAUGGAAGGACAAUGA